This is a long non-coding RNA of Magnolia sinica, 735 nucleotides long. RefSeq lists it as uncharacterized. The transcript has 4 exons. NCBI's taxonomy places the organism in Eukaryota, Viridiplantae, Streptophyta, Magnoliopsida, Magnoliales, Magnoliaceae. The record is from RefSeq and is a predicted model, not a curated record.
AGCAGCGCAUGCCAGCCCGCGAGCGCCAUUUGCUCUUUUCCAUUUUCAAGCAGUGCAUCUCAGCCCUCAAGAGCUUCUCCCAUUUUCAAGCAGCGGCAUCCCAUCGCCAUCGAGCAGCGGCAUCUUCCAUCGCCAUCGAGCAGCGUCUUCAAAUAAGAUGUGGGUUGUGCAUCGUAUCAUUCCUCUGUUUAUUUUGCCAAGGUUGGUGGAUACACAGUGGAGUAAAAGGGAGACAACACUAGUGCAGUGAGAGGAGCAGGUCAUGAUUUCUUUCUCAAUCUUUUUUUUUUUUUCUUUUUAGUAGAAAAUCAGUAAUAGUUUGUUGAUGAUAACAUUUAUAGGAUAAUGAGAAAGUGGAUAUGCGAAGGCUUGUUGAUUGGAACCAAUCAAAGGAAGUCUUGAAGCUAAUUGCAAUACCUGCUUAAAGCUUAAAAAAAUGGGUUCAAUUCCUUGCCCAAAAACAUAUCAGUAUGUAUUCAAUUAUCUUUCGUUGUGCUUCAGUGUUAUAAUCAGGACAAUCUACGUUGGAUCAUUGAUGAUGGUUUUGUACGUCACAUGUCUAGUCACCAAAAAAUUGUACAUCAGCAUGUCUGCUAUUAGAGUUCUUUUUUCCUUGGAAUUUGUUGUAAAGAUGCCAUCUUUUCAUGUUUUUCUUUGAUUUGUCUGUGGUGAUGAUUUUCCACAUCUGAACUUUAUGGCCCAGUUUGUCAGAACAUCUCCAUGUUUAAAAGGUGA